This is a non-coding RNA of Pelobates cultripes (western spadefoot toad), 230 nucleotides long. Lineage: Eukaryota; Metazoa; Chordata; Amphibia; Anura; Pelobatidae. The record is from the annotation of a GenBank genome assembly.
CACUGACAAAAGUGUCAGGGUAGUUAUUAUCUAAAGUCAGUCAGAUACAGCUGCUGGUAGACCGAGCAUUAACACAAGAUUUCAGGACCAGACAGAUCAAUCUUUGCACAGCCUGGAUUGACUACAAGAAAGUCUACGAUGCAAUGCAUGGAUACUGGAAAGCUUGGCUCCUAUACAAGGUCAAGAAGAUACUAAAAGCCUUCAUCAAGAAAUAGGCAAGUUGAGAACAA